GUGAGGAAUAUUGGUCAAUGGACGAGAGUCUGAACCAGCCAAAUCGCGUGAAGGAAGACUGCCCUACGGGUUGUAAACUUCUUUUGUACAGGAAUAAAAGACAUUACGUGUAAUGUAUUGCAUGUACUGUACGAAUAAGCAUCGGCUAACUCCGUGCCAGCAGCCGCGGUAAUACGGAGGAUGCGAGCGUUAUCCGGAUUUAUUGGGUUUAAAGGGUGCGCAGGCGGGAUUUUAAGUCAGCGGUGAAAUUUUCAGGCUCAACCUGAACACUGCCGUUGAAACUGGGAUUCUUGAGUAUGGAUGAAGUAGGCGGAAUUCGUUGUGUAGCGGUGACAUGCUUAGAUAUAACGAGGAACUCCGAUUGCGUAGGCAGCUUACUAAGCCAUAACUGACGCUCAAGCACGAAAGCGUGGGGAUCAAACAGGAUUAGAAACCCUAGUAGUCC
This 445-nucleotide ribosomal RNA is filed under the name uncultured bacterium. Its description in RNAcentral is "bacterial SSU rRNA". It matches the Rfam family "Bacterial small subunit ribosomal RNA", at positions 354 to 796 of the family's 1533-position model. The record is from RNAcentral.